ACGGGGGAUGCAGGCGUUAUCCGGAUUCAUUGGGUUUAAAGGGUGCGUAGGCGGAUUUAUAAGUCAGAGGUGAAAUCCGGCAGCUUAACUGUCGAACAGCCUUUGAUACUGUAGAUCUUGAAUGCAGUUGAGGUAGGCGGAAUGUGUAGUGUAGCGGUGAAAUGCUUAGAUAUUACACAGAACACCGAUUGCGAAGGCAGCUUGCUAAACUGUGAUUGACGCUGAGGCACGAAAGCGUGGGGAUCAAACAG
Molecule: ribosomal RNA, 251 nt
Filed under: uncultured prokaryote
Description: partial 16S rRNA
Rfam family: Bacterial small subunit ribosomal RNA
Source: RNAcentral